CCAGGAUGAAAUAGAAUCAUGUCUUGACUUACCCUAAAUAAUAAUAUCUGGUGAUUCUUUUGUAGAAAUUCCAAGAAGAGAAGAGAAGGACCACAUUCCACAUAUUCAGAGUCCAUUGUCUUUACCAGACUGCUAAAGGGCUCCCAUUACAAGCCCCAUCUCCCCCCAAAAGGUAAGGAACCCUUGGAAUAGAUAAUCUCUAAGAUUCUUUUCAGCUUCUAUUCAUUGUGAUGCAAUGACUUC
This 243-nucleotide long non-coding RNA is filed under the name Monodelphis domestica (gray short-tailed opossum). RNAcentral's name for it is "lncRNA (ENSMODG00000033549.2)". The record is from RNAcentral. Lineage: Eukaryota; Metazoa; Chordata; Mammalia; Didelphimorphia; Didelphidae.